GAUGAACGCUGGCGGCGUGCCUAAUACAUGCAAGUAGAACGCUGACGUAAGGAGCUUUCUCUUUCCGGAUGAGUUGCGAACGGGUGAGUCACGCGUAGGUAACCUGCCUGGUAGCGGGGGAUAACUAUUGGAAACGAUAGCUAAUACCGCAUAACAGUAGGUGUUGCAUGAUAUCUACUUAAAAGGUGCAAUUGCACCACUACCAGAUCGACCUGCGUUGUAUUAGCUAGUUGGUGAGGUAACGGCUCACCAAGGCGACGUUACAUAGCCGACCGGAGAGGGGAGACGGCCAACCUGGGAAGGGGGAAUGGCCCAGACGCCUGAGGGAGGCAGAAGGAGGGAAUCUGUGGGAAUGGACGGAAGGCGGAACGAGGAACGCCGCGUGAGUGAAGGAGGGUGUAGGAUCGCAAAGCUCUGUUGUGAGUGAAGAUCGAGUGGGAGAGUGGAAAGGGCACACUGUGACGGUAGCUGAAGAGAAAGCGACGGCUAACUACGUG
This 497-nucleotide ribosomal RNA is filed under the name uncultured bacterium. Its description in RNAcentral is "partial 16S ribosomal RNA". It matches the Rfam family "Bacterial small subunit ribosomal RNA", at positions 28 to 507 of the family's 1533-position model. The record is from RNAcentral.